Molecule: ribosomal RNA, 879 nt
Filed under: uncultured Bacillota bacterium
Lineage: Bacteria; Bacillati; Bacillota
Description: bacterial SSU rRNA
Rfam family: Bacterial small subunit ribosomal RNA
Source: RNAcentral
CAAGUCGAACGCGAAAGUCCCCUUCGGGGGGCGAGUAGAGUGGCGCACGGGUGAGUAACACGUAGGUAAUCUACCUUUGGAUUGGGAAUAACCACCGGAAACGGUGGCUAAUACCGAAUAAUGCAGCGGCACCUAAUGGUGACAGUUGUUAAAGCGGGGGAUCGCAAGACCUCGCGUCUGAAGAGGAGCCUGCGGCAGAUUAGCUAGUUGGUAAGGUAACGGCUUACCAAGGCGAUGAUCUGUAGCCGGCCUGAGAGGGCGGUCGGCCACACUGACACUGACAUACGGGUCAGACUCCUACGGGAGGCAGCAGUCGGGAAUUUUGGGCAAUGGGCGAAAGCCUGACCCAGCAACGCCGCGUGAAGGAUGAAAUCCCUCGGGAUGUAAACUUCGCAAGAACGGGAAGAAUAAGUAAGAGCUAACAUCUCUUACGAUGACGGUACUGUUUGUAAGCUCCGGCUAACUCCGUGCCAGCAGCCGCGGUAAUACGGGGGGAGCAAGCGUUGUUCGGAUUUACUGGGCGUAAAGGGCGCGUAGGCGGCACCGCAAGUCGACUGUGAAAUCUCCGGGCUUAACUCGGAAAGGUCAGCCGAUACUGCGGGGCUAGAGUGCAGAAGGGGCAACUGGAAUUCUCGGUGUAGCGGUGAAAUGCGUAGAUAUCGAGAGGAACACCUGCGGCGAAGGCGGGUUGCUGGGCUGACACUGACGCUGAUGCGCGAAAGCUAGGGGAGCGAACGGGAUUAGAUACCCCGGUAGUCCUAGCCUUAAACGAUGAAUGCUUGGUGUCUGGGGUUUUAUAGUCCCCGGGUGCCGUCGCUAACGCUUUAAGCAUUCCGCCUGGGGAGUACGGUCGCAAGACUGAAACUCAAAGGAAUUGAC